This 460-nucleotide ribosomal RNA is filed under the name uncultured bacterium. RNAcentral's name for it is "partial 16S ribosomal RNA". It matches the Rfam family "Bacterial small subunit ribosomal RNA", at positions 338 to 795 of the family's 1533-position model. The record is from RNAcentral.
CCUACGGGAGGCAGCAGUGAGGAAUAUUGGUCAAUGGGCGGAAGCCUGAACCAGCCAAGUCGCGUGAGGGAAUAAGGCCCUACGGGUCGUAAACCUCUUUUGCCGGGGAGCAAGGGCCGGGACGCGUCCCGGCCCGGAGAGUACCCGGAGAAAAAGCAUCGGCUAACUCCGUGCCAGCAGCCGCGGUAAUACGGAGGAUGCGGGCGUUUUCCGGAUUUUUUGGGUUUAAGGGGUGCGUAGGCGGGCUUUUAAGUCAACGGGAAAAAGUCGGGGCUCAAUCCGGUCCGGCCGUUGAAACUGGGGGCCUUGAGUGGGCGAGAGGAAGGCGGAAUGCGUGGUGUAGCGGUGAAAUGCAUAGAUAUCACACAGAACCCCGAUUGCGAAGGCAGCCUUCCAGCGCCCUACUGACGCUGAGGCACGAAAGUGCGGGGAUCGAACAGGAUUAGAUACCCUAGUAGUC